Molecule: long non-coding RNA, 489 nt
Organism: Piliocolobus tephrosceles (Ugandan red Colobus)
Lineage: Eukaryota; Metazoa; Chordata; Mammalia; Primates; Cercopithecidae
Exons: 4
Source: RefSeq, a predicted model, not a curated record
AGGCACAUCUAAAAUGUUUUCUGAGAGUCUAUUAGGACCAGCCUUAAAAACAUGUAUUUGAAAGUGAAACUCAAGAGGCUCCUGGGCCAGAACUCACUCUAAGGAGAGAAGAGACCAGACAUAAAGACUUGAUCAUUGGAAGAUGAGUUCCUGGAUAAUGUUAUUAGCUUUCAAGCAUGUGAUGCAUCCCAAGAGAGCUGUUGACUUCCAGUCUGACCAAAUUCUUUCACGUCGUGGCGUGUACGAUGUAUAAACGUUUUGGAAUGCCUCUGAGAUGACUUCUGCAGCCAGAAUCUCAUCCACUCUUCUGCGUCCAUUCACAUGUCCUGGGAAGGCUUCCCUGAUCACCUCAUAGGGAUGACUGGAAAAGUCAUGGAAUGUGCUCAUGAUCCUAUCCUGGGGCAAGGAAGAAUUAGACCAUGGAGUGAUUUGAAGAGGCCAUGGAAGAAAAAAUUCAAAGUUAUUUUGUGCUUAUAAGCCCAGCUAAGU